Molecule: microRNA precursor, 105 nt
Filed under: Canis lupus familiaris (dog)
Lineage: Eukaryota; Metazoa; Chordata; Mammalia; Carnivora; Canidae
Also listed under: 1 other name
Description: mir-8834 microRNA precursor family
Rfam family: mir-8834 microRNA precursor family
Source: Rfam by way of RNAcentral
AGGAGGAACAACCGCAGUGGCGGGGCCAGCUCUGCAGCCCUGGAGUCAGCUCCCGCAGUAGCUCCAGAGCUCUCCGUCUGCAGGGCCUGGAGGCUCCGGGCGGGG